RNAcentral lists this ribosomal RNA (1447 nucleotides) under uncultured bacterium. RNAcentral's name for it is "bacterial SSU rRNA". It matches the Rfam family "Bacterial small subunit ribosomal RNA". The record is from RNAcentral.
AGAGUUUGAUCCUGGCUCAGGAUGAACGCUGGCGGCGUGCUUAACACAUGCAAGUCGAACGAACCUUCGGGUUAGUGGCGGACGGGUGAGUAACGCGUGAGAAUCUGCCCUCAGGAGGGGGACAACAGCUGGAAACGGCUGCUAAUACCCCAUAUGCCGCGAGGUGAAAUGAAUUUCGCCUGAGGAUGAGCUCGCGUCUGAUUAGCUAGUUGGUGUAGGUAAUGGCUCACCAAGGCAUCGAUCAGUAGCUGGUCUGAGAGGAUGAUCAGCCACACUGGGACUGAGACACGGCCCAGACUCCUACGGGAGGCAGCAGUGGGGAAUUUUCCGCAAUGGGCGAAAGCCUGACGGAGCAACGCCGCGUGAGGGAUGAAGGCCUCUGGGCUGUAAACCUCUUUUAUCAAGGAAGAAGAUCUGACGGUACUUGAUGAAUAAGCCACGGCUAAUUCCGUGCCAGCAGCCGCGGUAAUACGGGAGUGGCAAGCGUUAUCCGGAAUUAUUGGGCGUAAAGCGUCCGCAGGCGGCCCUUCAAGUCUGCUGUUAAAAAGUGGAGCUUAACUCCAUCAUGGCAGUGGAAACUGAGGGGCUUGAGUGUGGUAGGGGCAGAGGGAAUUCCCGGUGUAGCGGUGAAAUGCGUAGAUAUCGGGAAGAACACCAGUGGCGAAGGCGCUCUGCUGGGCCAUCACUGACGCUCAUGGACGAAAGCCAGGGGAGCGAAAGGGAUUAGAUACCCCUGUAGUCCUGGCCGUAAACGAUGAACACUAGGUGUCGGGGGAAUCGACCCCCUCGGUGUCGUAGCCAACGCGUUAAGUGUUCCGCCUGGGGAGUACGCACGCGAGUGUGAAACUCAAAGGAAUUGACGGGGGCCCGCACAAGCGGUGGAGUAUGUGGUUUAAUUCGAUGCAACGCGAAGAACCUUACCAGGGUUUGACAUCCUGCGAAUCUCUUGGAAACGAGAGAGUGCCUUCGGGAACGCAGUGACAGGUGGUGCUUGGCUGUCGUCAGCUCGUGUCGUGAGAUGUUGGGUUAAGUCCCGCAACGAGCGCAACCCACGUCUUUAGUUGCCAGCAUUUAGUUGGGCACUCUAGAGAGACUGCCGGUGAUAAACCGGAGGAAGGUGUGGAUGACGUCAAGUCAUCAUGCCCCUUACAUCCUGGGCUACACACGUACUACAAUGCUACGGACAAAGGGCAGCAAGUUCGCGAGGACAAGCAAAUCCCAUAAACCGUGGCUCAGUUCAGAUCGUAGGCUGCAACUCGCCUACGUGAAGGAGGAAUCGCUAGUAAUCGCAGGUCAGCAUACUGCGGUGAAUACGUUCCCGGGCCUUGUACACACCGCCCGUCACACCAUGGAAGUUGGCCACGCCCGAAGCCGUUACUCCAACCCUUGUGGAGGAGGACGUCGAAGGUGGGGCUGAUGACUGGGGUGAAGUCGUAACAAGGUAACC